Molecule: ribosomal RNA, 27 nt
Filed under: Eimeria furonis
Lineage: Eukaryota; Apicomplexa; Conoidasida; Eucoccidiorida; Eimeriidae
Also listed under: 1 other name
Description: large subunit ribosomal RNA
Source: RNAcentral
AUGUAUGCUUGGAAGCUGCUCUCAAAA